GAUGAACGCUGGCGGCGUGCUUAACACAUGCAAGUCGAACGAUGAAGCCCAGCUUGCUGGGUGGAUUAGUAGCGAACGGGUGAGUAACACGUGAGUAACCUGCCCUUAACUCUGGGAUAAGCCUGGGAAACUGGGUCUAAUACCGGAUAGGAGCGCCUACCGCAUGGUGGGUGUUGGAAAGAUUUAUCGGUUUUGGAUGGACUCGCGGCCUAUCAGCUUGUUGGUGAGGUAAUGGCUCACCAAGGCGACGACGGGUAGCCGGCCUGAGAGGGUGACCGGCCACACUGGGACUGAGACACGGCCCAGACUCCUACGGGAGGCAGCAGUGGGGAAUAUUGCACAAUGGGCGAAAGCCUGAUGCAGCGACGCCGCGUGAGGGAUGACGGCCUUCGGGUUGUAAACCUCUUUCAGUAGGGAAGAAGCGAAAGUGACGGUACCUGCAGAAGAAGCACCGGCUAACUACGUG
Molecule: ribosomal RNA, 466 nt
Filed under: uncultured bacterium
Lineage: Bacteria
Description: partial 16S ribosomal RNA
Rfam family: Bacterial small subunit ribosomal RNA
Source: RNAcentral